This 1443-nucleotide ribosomal RNA is filed under the name Mycolicibacterium smegmatis. RNAcentral describes it as "bacterial SSU rRNA". It matches the Rfam family "Bacterial small subunit ribosomal RNA". Lineage: Bacteria; Bacillati; Actinomycetota; Actinomycetes; Mycobacteriales; Mycobacteriaceae. The record is from RNAcentral.
GGGAUGCGGCGGCUUAACAUGCAAGUCGAACGGAAAGGCCCUUCGGGGUACUCGAGUGGCGAACGGGUGAGUAACACGUGGGUGAUCUGCCCUGCACUUUGGGAUAAGCCUGGGAAACUGGGUCUAAUACCGAAUACACCCUGCUGGUCGCAUGGCCUGGUAGGGGAAAGCUUUUGCGGUGUGGGAUGGGCCCGCGGCCUAUCAGCUUGUUGGUGGGGUGAUGGCCUACCAAGGCGACGACGGGUAGCCGGCCUGAGAGGGUGACCGGCCACACUGGGACUGAGAUACGGCCCAGACUCCUACGGGAGGCAGCAGUGGGGAAUAUUGCACAAUGGGCGCAAGCCUGAUGCAGCGACGCCGCGUGAGGGAUGACGGCCUUCGGGUUGUAAACCUCUUUCAGCACAGACGAAGCGCAAGUGACGGUAUGUGCAGAAGAAGGACCGGCCAACUACGUGCCAGCAGCCGCGGUAAUACGUAGGGUCCGAGCGUUGUCCGGAAUUACUGGGCGUAAAGAGCUCGUAGGUGGUUUGUCGCGUUGUUCGUGAAAACUCACAGCUUAACUGUGGGCGUGCGGGCGAUACGGGCAGACUAGAGUACUGCAGGGGAGACUGGAAUUCCUGGUGUAGCGGUGGAAUGCGCAGAUAUCAGGAGGAACACCGGUGGCGAAGGCGGGUCUCUGGGCAGUAACUGACGCUGAGGAGCGAAAGCGUGGGGAGCGAACAGGAUUAGAUACCCUGGUAGUCCACGCCGUAAACGUGGGUACUACGUGUGGGUUUCCUUCCUUGGGAUCGUGCCGUAGCUAACGCAUUAAGUACCCCGCCUGGGGAGUACGCCGCAAGCUAAACUCAAAGAAUUGACGGGGCCCGCACAGCCGCGAGCAUGUGAUAAUUCGAUGCACGCGAGAACUUUACUUGGGGUUGGACAAUUGCCACAAUGAUACCUGGGUUUGACAUGCACAGGACGCCGGCAGAGAUGUCGGUUCCCUUGUGGCCUGUGUGCAGGUGGUGCAUGGCUGUCGUCAGCUCGUGUCGUGAGAUGUUGGGUUAAGUCCCGCAACGAGCGCAACCCUUGUCUCAUGUUGCCAGCACGUUAUGGUGGGGACUCGUGAGAGACUGCCGGGGUCAACUCGGAGGAAGGUGGGGAUGACGUCAAGUCAUCAUGCCCCUUAUGUCCAGGGCUUCACACAUGCUACAAUGGCCGGUACAAAGGGCUGCGAUGCCGUGAGGUGGAGCGAAUCCUUUCAAAGCCGGUCUCAGUUCGGAUCGGGGUCUGCAACUCGACCCCGUGAAGUCGGAGUCGCUAGUAAUCGCAGAUCAGCAACGCUGCGGUGAAUACGUUCCCGGGCCUUGUACACACCGCCCGUCAGGUCAUGAAAGUCGGUAACACCCGAAGCCGGUGGCCUAACCCCUCGUGGGAGGGAGCCGUCGAAGUUGAUUUACCCCC